GAGAGGCGAUACGUGUUAGAACGGAGAAUGGCAUUCUUUUUUGUGUGUGAUUUUGGUAGAAAGUGAUGAUGAUGGUGGCGCUGUGGGACGACAAUGGCGAGGAUUAACCACCACGCAGCUCUGUUCCUUUUUCUGGAGAUUUCAGCUUCCUUUCUUUGGAACUCGUGAUUUGAGAGAUGUACAGUAAUCACUUAAAAAGAUGGUACGGCGAGAUAUAUAAAUGAAAUAUGGCCGGGAGUCACAUAAAGACGAGACAAUACGAGACUGCCAUUAUAAAGGUGACGAGGCUAAAUCGGGCCACCAUUUAGUUCUCUCUCUCUUUCUCCUUCCCUCUCUCCUUUAUUUAGUUAUUUGGAUUGCAGUAUUGAAGCAGCUCUGUUGUAUUUUAUUCAUGGUCAAGAAUUUCUUCACUCUACUAUUGCGUCAACCUUUUUUGUGAUCUCACAUGUGACAACCGAGAUCAAACUAUGCUUUGAAACAUGCCUCCGGGUUAUUUUGGUGGUUGAUUUUAGGUUAUUCAGAAUUCAUUGAGCUGAAAUGGUUAUUGGUAGAUGUUUAAGGGACAUAGUUGAUUAGGUAUAUCUUCAGUAGCAAGGCUAGAUCUUGUAGGUGACUGUAGCGUUGUUUGGAUGCUUGUUGUAAAAGAAUUUCAAGGAGUUUGGACUGCUGAUUCCAAGUCUGUUAGACAAGAUAUUCUGUAAAACUCUAAUGUUUGUUAUUAGAUUGUACAGAUUAAUUAAAAAUGGGGGGUAAUGAGUUUGGGUAAAUGAGUCGAUCUUUAGGGAACAGAUUGUGGCCUGUGUACCUGCUGGCACUCUGGCAAAGGCCAACAAACUUCCAUCUUGUAUAAUAUGACAAGAUUUUCCUAGAUAUUUAUUGUCAAAUUAUAAACAAUUCAAACCAGCUACCAGGAUCUGUUGGAGGUUUUUUGGCCUUUGCCAGAGGAAUGGCAGGUAUGCAGAUUGUGAUUGUUAAACACGUUACUACCAUAGACUGUAAACUUUCCAUAAAAAAUUACAGGAAGUUUCAGGUGGAUUUAGGUAGAACAUAGUCAGCAUUAUUACAUAUAAACAAAGCUUAAUUUGAAAAUUGUUGAGGCUUAGCAACAUGUUAUUUCUCUUUGCUUGGACUGGUUCCGUAUUUCACAAUAACUUGCCAGGAAAGUCCGCAAGUACUAUCUUGCCAAAAUCCAUAUGGUUGAAAUGUGUAUUCUUCUUUGGCAGUAAGAUAAGGUUCGAUACUCCAUUCCAGCAAUGUCAUGGCCUUGGUCUUAGCAAACUUGCAGUGGUAAAUGAACCACUAUGUAUGAUUUGGCAAGAUAGUUUUUCAACUUCCCUGGCAAAAUGAUCUUGAAGGAUGCUUCCUUUUAUAACCUGAUGCAUUUUUUGAUUCAACAGUGUUCUUAGACUAUCACUGCCUACUCUAAUUCAGUUUCUACAGGAAAAAGAAUUUGUAUUUUGGUCAGUAGAUCACACUGGAUGUUGUGAAACUUGAAAAUAGCACAAACUGAUGAUCCCACGUCUUGUACAGUUACCCCGCCUCUUCACCCUAGUGUGGCCAGAUAAACAAUGUGUCAGGAACCAGUCCAGGUUGUUUCGUACAAGAGUGGAGGUUUGUUGGCCUCAGCAGGUGUUUGAAGCAUGAAAACCAAGGCAUUGCUUUGUGUGGUCAUAUUCUGGAUAGGUGCCAGUUUUACCAAAGUUUGUACUGGUUACAUCUGGUUGUGUACAUUGAUUAUCAUUUAAAAUUCAUGGGCAGUGGAACUUCCCCAGAACUUUUUACAAUUGUGAGAUUCCAAUCGUGUAUAUGCCAUCUGCAUGAACAGCCUUGCUUUCAUAUCAUUUAAUCAUUUAUUUUUAUUAGUGUUGGCAUUUAUAUUUAUUCUAGUGUUACGUAACAAACACCUCCAUAUAUGUUAAAUCCAGAAUUUCUUACUUCACGUGGAUAGAUCAGAAGUAGAAUGAAAAGGGAAGUCUACUUCUUUUGCUAUCAUCAUUGGCAAUUGCACAUUUAUAUUUAAAUAUGGAAAUACAAUAGAAAUAUAGAUAUUAUUGUGACUAAAUCAGGUGGAAUUCAGGAAACUUAUGAUUAUGAAUAUGUUUAUAUGUAAACAAAGAUAAAGAAAGGGUCAGCAAUUUGGAUAGGAAGUAUCUAUGUCUCUUACUAAAGAGUUUAGACCCAUUACACUAAGGAGAGCUAGACUUCCUCUCAUUCUAUUUUUUUAUUUAUUUAUUGUUUCUUUAAUAUGAAAGUUGUGCUGCAAUGCUAUCAUUUUUGCUGUGGCAGCAUGAAAUUAAGAAUUUUGGGAACAGCACAUUUGCUAUACAUUAUUCAUUGAUUAUUGGAAUCGUUUUCAUGAAUACAUAGCCAUGCUAUACAGAACAGCUCGAGGUUAUUGAUGUUGUAUUUUAAUAGUCAAUAAUCAAUAAUGUACAUUUUGUACAAAUGUAACAUUGAAGUUGUGAAUAUUAAAUGUAACUAGCCAGUUCUAGAAGAGGAAAUAGUUCAUUAUAAUAAUCUUUGGUUGUCUGGCUUGAAAUUACAUGUACUUUUGUUGUUUUUAGCCCAUGAAUUUCACAAAAAUAUCUUUAACUCCAGGCAUGGAGACAAGAAACAGGACUGACAUUUGGAAAUAGGAGACAGAAAUAAUGUUUAAAAGUUACUGAGACACCCACAGUGACUUGUGUUAUUGCUAUGGCCUAUGUGCCCUUAGUGCUUCAGUGAGCACUUAACAAACCUAUAUCAUGUAUAUCUAUUCUGACUAGUUCCUGCCUGGAGUCCCUUGCUGGUGUAGUCCUUACUGGUUUAUCAAUAACUUCUGCAAAAAUAAAUGCAGGUUAUUUUCAAUUUAUGAUCCCCUGAUUUUAUUUAUGGGUAAUAUAUCCACUUGACCACUUCAAAUACAUCAUAACUGGGAUGUUACUAAAUGUUUAUUGUUAUUAUCACUGAGUAGUAAGCAGUAAACCUUACUAGUUGUGAAGUUUGUGAUGAGACGGCAGAGGAGCAGCACGAUUGAAAAAUGCAGUCAUGUGAAUUAUUGAUGUGGCUGUAAAUAUCAAUUUACCUUUUUUUUUUUUACUUUUUUAUGAAAAGUAUUCAGGUAAGGAGGGCAGUUAAGAUAUAUAGGUAUCCAUGCCUCUCAUUGAUUGUGAAAUCUGUAACUCGAGCUACUGCAAAUAUAAAAAUUCCUCGUACAUCUUCAAACUUUCACUUGCUCCAAAUGGGAACUUUGCUAUACUAUACUCAAACCUCAUGUAACUAGAAUGGAUUACAAGCACAUUGAACAAGACAUCAGUGUCAUAUUCUCAAUCAACACCAUCCCCGAAAAAUAAUAUGAUUCACUAGUUAUCUUGAAACUUGUAUUUAUAAAGCAUUUUUGUAAAAUAAAGUAAUGUCUUCUGUGUUUGCAAGAAGUGAAAUCCCACAGUCAUUACUCUCAAGGAUUUUUACAGUUCCAGUGCAGUUUCUCAGGUCUUAGAGUGAGUCUAAAGGUCAGACUCCCCUUUCUAACGUACUUAAGCUUCACCCAUGUUGAAAAAAUGAGCUUCUCUCUUGUUUGAUGACAGUGACCAUGAAAGUUUUAAGUAAAGUGCUAAGGACACUCUUCUACUUCAAAGGGAUUUUUUUGUUUUUAUUUUUUUUUAUUUUUUAUUUUCUUAUGAGGUAAGGUAAUUCAAUGCUGUGAUGUAUUUUGAAGUCUAUGUAGUUUAACUGCUGUUUAACUCCCUUGGGGUUAAUUUAGAAAUACUGUCACAAGGGAAGCCUAUCUUGCUUUUAGAUCCUUAAAUGAUGAAAGUUUUAGGUAACUAUAUGAUUUUUUUCAUGGUAUAGAGUAUAUUGUUGCACUUCAUCUCGUAUAUCACUUUAACCCUGCCUCUUCAUAGGAUGUGUGACCUACUGUUAGUGAAGUCAAACCAAGAUAUUAUCAUCCUUGUUUUUACUUUGAUUUUUUAAACUUUAGUACUUUAUGCUAAGUGCACCUACGGACCCCUUUAUAAGUUAGUGUAGUACUAGGGAGUCUUGAUGGAAAGCAUAGUUUGUAUGUAAAUGAAAAUAAAAAUUGCAUGAAAAACACCAAAUAUUUCAUCAUAAAUCAUUGUGAUUUUCAGUUUUUUAUAUUGGUAUAUGACAUUCAUGAUAUCAUUUAUUAGAACAAAUGUAUUCAGUGCUUUCUCAGUGUUCCAUCAUAGGUACCAGUCAGGACACAGUAUUCCAAUUAGUAUGCUGUUGUCAUGAAUGAUCGAACCUUUCCCACAACUGACUGCAAACAGAAUGAAUGAUGUAGUUUAGAUGCAGGUUUAGUUUUGGCCUGUGAAUGUUAUCUGUUGUUUAUAAUAAGAAGCAAAUUAUACUUACAUAAACUUCAUGUAAGAUAAACAAAAAUCAAAAUGUUUUUGAAUUAUGAAAUGAAAUGGGAUUGCUUAUAUAUUGCCAUGUGAUCAAAUCUCACGUCCAGUUAGUAUGCAUUGAAUUAAAUUCCUCCUGCGGCUGGAAGCCCCAUGAAGCAUAAGUAUAAGAGUCAGCCUUACCAGGAGUGUUCCACUUAAUUUUCAGAUUAUUAGGAAUAUGUUUAAUGUCUCCAAAUUGGGUUGCACAUUGUAUAGAUACAGUCCACACAUGAACAACUUGAAUGUAGGUAGUCUGUUCAGUGUGAAUAUACUUGACAUGAUUAUUCAGUGAAUUGAUCAGAGUUAACCAACUUAAAAAGGUUAUUAUUUUUUAAGCGGUGACAUUCAGCCAGGAAUGUCAAGUGUAAAAGACUAGCUGUGUGGCACUUGCAGCAUAAGCUAGAAGAUUAAAUGAAGUUGUAAGGUAACUAUUCAGGAAGGAACUAUACAAGGAUCUUGAAGCUUCAUACACUAAAUAUGUAGAUGAAGUUGACUUGAGUCUUUUCUUUAUCCCCCUUAAAGUGGGUGAGAAAGCUUUAGAAUUAAACAUUUACAUAGCAAUCCCUUCAGUUCUAAUUCAUUUAUAUCUUGUUAAAUUCAGUUAUCAUGUAUAUGUUUGAAUUUCACUUCCCAUUUCCUCUGUCUAUAUGUUUAUAUCUUUGGGAAUAAACACAGUUUGUAUUGAGGUCUACAUCAGUCUUAUUUUCAGUCUACCUUUGUAUGUGCAUGCUAAUAGAAUUUGUGAGGUAAUUAAAUACUGCCUUUGAAAAUCAUAUUAUUAAAGUUUGUCAUUAUUAUUGUUAUUAUUUUCAUCAUCAUUAACGAUCAUCAUUAAUGAUUAUUAUCAUCAUCAUAAGAAUUUUUAAAAGAGGACUGCACAGAGAAUACUAAGAUAACUCCCUUAACCCCUUCACGACGGGUGACACCGAUAGGCAUGAAAACAAACUGCUCGAAAGCUGGCAUGUGGCUGUACGCCGCGGCAGUGAGCUAGUGAUUCGGGCUGAUGUACUGAACUCAUGCGCUCUAAGCCAGCGCGCCGCCAUUGUUUGCCAAAUCGUAGAUUUUUUUUUCGUUUUCUUCACCCGUCACCAUUGGGUUAAAGAACAAAACAAAGUGUUAAUAGUAUAAAACAAUCUGCCAAAAUUGUUAGUCCACAAUCCUUUAUCAAAGGUACAUCCACAGUGCUAGCUGUGGCUUCCUUAUCUUUAGCACUCCAAUAAGGGGACAGAAACCUCCACUGCAUAUAUUCUAUGAAAAUAGAGCUUGUGCUCCACAUUGGUAAUUUGUUGUCAAAUUAGGAACUAGUCAAAACUCUACCUUGCCAAAUAUAAGUAGAGCAUUUCGGCCUUUGAAGAAGCAUCAAAAGAAUGGAAGCCACAGCGAUUGCAGGCCUCAGUGUCAGGGGUGUUGUCCAAGGUUUAAGGAUUAUGUAUUCAUGUUUUAAUCAAUUUAACCAUUGUUUCAUGUUGCAAUUGUUAGUUAAAAUUCAUGUCUUUUUGUAGUACUGGUAUUGUUAUAAUUUAUUGUUAUAAUUUAUUACUACUAUAUAUAUAUAUAUAUAUUUUUUUUUUAUUGAUGGCUCAGAUAGAAGGAUCUUGAAACCGCAUAUAUAUCUAGUACAACGUUUGUCCUCUUUUUUUUUUUUAGUUCAGAUGGAGAAUCAGCAGGCCAAAUUUCAAGGAGUCGAAUGGAGAUUUGUUUCUGUUAAUGUGGAAUUGCCGUUGACUAGGACGUUGCUUGAAAGGGUUAGGGAAAUGGAGCUCUGGUAGGAAUAGGCUCCACGUCCGCCUUCGAGAUUGCUGGUUAGGGUCAUCUGUGUGUGUGGACAGGUUGGCAGAGAUUUCGAGGGAGAAUAUUCUUUUUGGAAAUGGUCCUCUGAAAUGAUGUCACUCUUUGGAAAAUGAAGACGCAUGUGCAGUUAUAUUUCCUGGUUCUUAUAUAUUUAGGUUAUUUAUUUUUAUUUGUUUAUUUAUUUAUUUAUUUUUUUUCCAAGUCCUUUACACGUUUUUCAUUUGUUGGUAAUGGUACUGCAAUUAAUGUUUUAAUAGAAGGAAGUAACUAAAACUAUAAUUACUUUGGUGAAGCUUUUUAUAAUUACAGUAAAUUUAUUUCAAUAGAUUUCAUGCUGUAUCUUAAGUUUUCAAUAUUUGUUAGUACUUUUUCAAUUCUCGCUCUAGAUUAUAUUGAUUUAUUGAUAUCACUAAAACCCUCUUUAUGUAAAUUGGGUAUUGAACUAUUUAUCAAAUGUCAAAUUAUUGAUACAUUUAAGCUAAAGACUGCUUCAUAGUUGUGCAACUGUACAAUAUGUGAAAUUUGGUAAAUUAGUGAUUCUUCAGUAUGAUAAUUUGUAGACGUAUUAUUAAUUGUUUUUGCUUAUCAUUGUUUAUCUUGCUUUGCCAUCAUGUUACCAAAGCAAAUAUUAAGGCAUCAGUGGAGAAAGUAAUGACUCCUUAACUCUAGAUAAUUUUAAAUAAUUUGUAAUGAUUGUUUGUAGGGAAAAGAUACAUUUUAGGUAACUUUUUAAUGCAACUUGCUCACUGGUGCCUUAAGCUCUUUGAUUGAAUUCUUUAAGAGUGAAAAAAGAAAAGAAAAAAUUGCAAGUCACCAAAGAUUGCUUAUAGAUGCAUUUAUCAAAUGCAAGCCAAAUGCUAACAAAGUUCUCAGAUCUCAUGCACAGACAGCACUUUGACCAUGCAGUAAUGAAGAGAGUGUGAGAGUGAUGACUGUCUCUGUAGGGUGUGAGUGGCGUGAUUUAGAUAGAAUAUUGUAAGAUUUUGAAUCCUGUGAGCUGUUUUACCUUCCCAUCACAGUGGUCAUAGGAUUGGAAUAUGGAAUUGCAAAGAGCUUGUGUCGAGAGCAACAAAUUUCUUUCAAAGAAAAAAGAGAAAGAAAUAUGGGGAUUAAUGAUUACUAUAUCAUGUGUUCCUUUGGUUUGCUAAGGUUUCUUUGGUAAAAACGAGGAUACUGAGAUUGAGUUAUUGAUUUACUUAAUUUUUUUUUUUUUACUAUUAUACAUUUAAUUAAAUCAUUAGUGUUGUUUAGCAUUUCUUUUUUCUUUCUUUCUUUAAUGAUUAUGCAGAGAUCUUGCCAUAUUUAAUGAGAAGAAUCUUGAAUUAUCCUGAUCACUGUUCAUGAGAGUAUAUUUGAGAUGCUGUUAUUGUCACUUUUUGAUAAGCACUUGCCAAUCUGUGUGAUGCAUAUGUUCUCUCUUUCUGUCUCUCUCUUUCUCACAAAAAAAAAAAAAAAAAAAAAAAAAAAAAAAGUCAAGGGGGAGAUAGAUGUACUAGAAAGGGUGUUAUUUGUGGCAUUAUGUUUUGCAGAGCAGUAGCUUUGAUGCACGUCCUCUGGUGUAUAUGACUCAUAUUGAUAAGUUAAUCCCAAUUUCUUCUAGGGUGGAGCAAAGAGCGACACAAUGCUUUAACUUGACAUGGUGGAAUCACUGCGACCACGCAUAAUCCAGCGGCUGGGAAGAUAUCUCCAUACGGCUUGGGGGUGCUGGUUGUGAGUUUUAGACGCAUAAUGUCAAUAUUUAGCCUUUUUUUAUUAUUUUUUUUUUAUUUCUGAGAACAUUUUCAAGAUCACUAAUGUUUUAGGAUGUGGUGUAACCUGGUGUGGGAAAUGGAAGGGUGAAAGGAUGAGUGUGUACGAGUGUGGAAAUCAAUUUUGGAGAGUGCAUGUGGAGUGAUUUUGUGUAUCAAUUUUCUGGGUCCUUGAGUGACUCCUUUAGCACCUCAGGUUACACCCUCACAUGUUAGUGUAAGUUCAGGGUAAUGAGAAGGUAACCAUGACCUUUGGAUAUUCUUUGAUAAUGAUUGAAAUAGUUUUUUUUU
Penaeus indicus is the source of this 8218-nucleotide long non-coding RNA. RefSeq lists it as uncharacterized. The record is from RefSeq and is a predicted model, not a curated record. Lineage: Eukaryota; Metazoa; Arthropoda; Malacostraca; Decapoda; Penaeidae. The transcript has 2 exons.